Long non-coding RNA from Canis lupus familiaris (dog), 693 nucleotides. RefSeq lists it as uncharacterized. The record is from RefSeq and is a predicted model, not a curated record. The transcript is spliced from 3 exons. Lineage: Eukaryota; Metazoa; Chordata; Mammalia; Carnivora; Canidae.
GACUAGCAAAAGAUCUUAAUAGAAAUGAGAAGGAGAAAGGUAGGGCAGUAACCCAGGGAAUUUUCCAGGAUGCCUCCUAAUACUACUAUGACUGAUGGCAAAUAUUCAUGAACAAGUAGAGCAGUUCAACACGGCAGGACAACGUGAGCUUAGAUCCUUCAACAAUGAAGGUUUAUGUCAUCCCACCCGGUGAAUAGCUUCUGGACACUGAGGUUAUUGUUGAGACCAAGAUACGCAUGGAAUGGAAAUAUCAACUAUUGCCUUUGACCAUCUCUCCUAAAGGAGUCACAAAACAAGAAAAGAAAGAAAAUGAAAAAACGCAUUCAACGCAUAUUGAAUCCUUUGAUUUACUCCCUGAGAAACAAAGAUGUCAAAGAGGCUCUAAGAAAACUUCUAGAGAUGAAAAAUACUAUUCUUUGAUUAUUAUUUCUCAUCCAUCAAAGUUUUCAGCACUACUGAACAGCACAUGAAUCUUACUGGAAUCUAAAAGUAAAAUGAGAAGAAAGAAUUCCAAACAGGAGUGAGAACAGAAUAACCUGAAUGUAACUCUUGUAGCAAUGACAAAAAUUACUUGACAUCAAUAAAAUAAGGGAAAAAGGUCAACACUGAAAAAUUACUGUGCAUAUCUUCUCAUGGUGAGGUCUGUUCGCUUCUACCUUAGCCUGACAAUGCUUUUCUGAGUCAGCUGGAUGU